UACGGGGGGGGCAAGCGUUGUUCGGAAUUACUGGGCGUAAAGGGCUCGUAGGUGGCCAACUAAGUCAGACGUGAAAUCCCUCGGCUUAACCGGGGAACUGCGUCUGAUACUGGAUGGCUAGAGAUUGGGAGAGGGAUGCGGAAUUCCAGGUGUAGCGGUGAAAUGCGUAGAUAUCUGGAGGAACACCGGUGGCGAAGGCGGCAUCCUGGACCAACACUGACACUGAAAAGCGAAAGCCAGGGGAGCAAACGGG
This 253-nucleotide ribosomal RNA is filed under the name uncultured bacterium. RNAcentral's name for it is "partial 16S ribosomal RNA". It matches the Rfam family "Bacterial small subunit ribosomal RNA", at positions 524 to 776 of the family's 1533-position model. The record is from RNAcentral.